GUAUGGGGAUCUGCCCGAUAGAGGGGGAUAACUACUGGAAACGGUGGCUAAUACCGCAUAAUGUCUACGGACCAAAGCAGGGGCUCUUCGGACCUUGCACUAUCGGAUGAACCCAUAUGUGAUUAGCUAGUAGGUGGGGUAAAGGCUCACCUAGGCGACGAUCUCUAGCUGGUCUGAGAGGAUGAUCAGCCACACUGGGACUGAGACACGGCCCAG
This 216-nucleotide ribosomal RNA is filed under the name uncultured bacterium. RNAcentral's name for it is "partial 16S ribosomal RNA". It matches the Rfam family "Bacterial small subunit ribosomal RNA", at positions 115 to 334 of the family's 1533-position model. The record is from RNAcentral.